UACAACUUAUAUACAUAUUGUAAUAAUAAUUGUAUAGUUUCUAUACACAUCCUAUAUAAUAUUUAGCUAUAGUAAUUAUUUAGAUAACAAUAUUUAUGCAGUUUAUAUACAUCCUAUGUAUAUACAUACUUUAUACAACAAUGAUACAAAUUGUAGACACAUAAUUUUGUCCAUCCGAAAGAUUAAUUUUCACCUAUUUACCUUAUUUUACCGUCCCCAACCAUGUAAUUAUUCCUCAUAAAAGAAUAAAAAUAACAGACUCCCUAAUAAAUAUUAUCCUAUCCUAACCAACUUUAUACCUCAUUCUAACAACCUACCCCACCUCACCCCACACCCUACCUUACCUCACCCCUAUACCCCUAGGCUCUCCCCUCUCUCACGGAUUCCACACUAUAGAUGCAUACACCUCACAUUUUAUCCCUUUUCCAAUAAUAUACACACCCAGAAUACACAAAGGGGCACACACAAUAACAAUUGAAGAAUAGAUACUCACUGGAAUCACACCAAAGGAGGGGCCCACGGGAAUUGACCACCUCAUAAGCACACACUCUCACAACCAUUAUAUUCUCCAUCAUAUUUUCCACAAAGGGAUUCACACAACAAUGGAGAAUAAUUACACACAGCAAUACUACACCCUCCUAAUUUUUGCACACCACUCGCACACACAGCCACACACCCAAUCAAAAAAGGGAGAGAGAGAUUAGAGAGAGAUAGACGAAGGGAGUAGCUGAGUGAUUGAGCGAGAAAAACAUAGGGGAAAAGAGAGAUCGAUUUGACCAAGGAAACUAGUGAAGAAGCAGCGAAACCAGAUCUGUUCCGGCCGUUUGUCAUUCUUUCCCAGUAAAAUUUUCGUCAGAAUCGAUUCUGGCUCGUCUAAUUGAUCCAAACAGACUCAAAAUCUCUAAAAUCUUUUCAGUUUCUUGAUUUUCAGGCAAAUCUGAUCAGAAUCUGACCCAUUUCUUUGGUUUUUUUUGUCGUCAUCUGAGAUCGCCGGAGCUCCGAUACUGCAAAACAGUAAUUCCGACUUAAGUUAGUUUCAAAAACCACCUAGAAAACAAAAGUUCCAGCCUACAAUGGUACCCCGUCGUUGGAAAGACCAUCGGUUUUGAGCAAAACGGGGUUUAGGGUCAAAACUUAUGGUUCGGAGUUCGUAUUGAGUUUAUUUAGCUGGUUUCAAGUCUGUUGGGGUUUUAUUUUUCGAUACCGGGUCGAGUUCGAUCGUUGUUGAGGUUUGGUUUUUGGAUUUUGGUCGUGGUUGUAGUCGGAAAAGCAAUUUCAAUUAAAAAGCAACAUUAAGGUUCAAUUCUCGUUCUCUGUUAAUUCCUAAUUGGUUGAUAUUUUUGCUUGUUAAAUUCAUUACGUGUGGAUUUUGUUUUGUUGAUGUUGAUAUAUUUUGGAUCACCGUGAAUGAUUGUUGAUAUUGAUUUGUUGAUUCUUUAUCGAAAUUGGUUAAUCAUGUGGUUGAAAAUUAAUCUGGGGUGAGAAUUGAAAACUUGUUAAAAUUGGUGAAUAUUGUGGUAUUUUGAUUCAUUGUUGAUGUUGAACGUCGAUAGUAUCAUGUUUUAGUCUAGAAUGAAUAGGUAAACGGUAGGUUCGGGUAGGCAAAUUUAGGCAUAACGGAUUGAUGGCAUGUUUGAAAUAUGUGUUGGAAUGGUUUUGUUUUAUCGCAUUUAAUUCAAUUGUACUCAUUUGGUCGGGGAAUACCCCGAGGUACUUAUAUCUAUUCACCGGGGAAUGCCCUGACGUAUCAUGUACGCAAAAGAAGUUCAUAAUGAAGGCCCGAGACAUCGGAUAAAGCAUUGGAGUAUAGUUUAGGAUUAGUCUGAAUAGGAUUUCUAUUUUUGUAUUGUUCUAUUUUUGGACUGUAUAAUUCGGACUGGACAUUACUUUGGUUUUUUUGGAUUUUGUUUGAGUUGCUUGUUUGUUUGUCUUGUAUGUUUAUGUGGUUUAUAUAUUUUAUAAUGUCAAAUUAACCGAUACACUCCACUAAGCGACCGUGGUCGAGCCAUGGGAUCGAGGGGUGCAUAACACCUUCCCCUCGGUCAAUAGAAUUCCUUAGCCAGAAUCUCUGUUCGCAAACCAGUUUUAAAGAGUCAAAUUAUUUUGAAAAGGAUUGUCCAAAGGUGACUUGGCACACCGGAUUAUGCCAAGUGGCGACUCUGAGUUUUAAAUGUAAACGUAAUCCUUUUUUGGAAUAAAUCUUCAUUUUGUCACUUUAAUAAUAAAAACCCUUUCGAACUUAAAAAUUCAAUCUUUUUGAGAGUUAAAAAAAUGGGUGUGACACAAAUUCUAUACAGAUCAUAUAUAUAGAAAAAUAUAUUUUAUAUAAUACUUUUUUGAUUUUCUUACACAUUAUUUACAAUAAUUAUAUAAAUUUUAUAGAUUCUAUACGAUCUUUGGCUAUAAUUAUUAUUCGGAUACGUACUUUAUACAAGAACUACACAGUCCUAUACACAUUCUAUACAUACAUAUUUUAUACAACAACUAUAUAGUUUUUGUAUUCAAUCUUUUUGAGAUUUAAAAAAAGGGGUGUGACACAAAUUCUAUACAGAUCAUAUAUAUAGAAAAAUAUAUUUUAUAUAAUACUUUUUUGAUUUUCUUACACAUUAUAUACAAUAAUUAUAUAAAUUUUAUAGAUUCUAUACGAUCUUUGGCUAUAAUUAUUAUUCGGAUACGUACUUUAUACAAGAACUACAUAGUCCUAUAC
Molecule: long non-coding RNA, 2707 nt
Filed under: Capsicum annuum
Lineage: Eukaryota; Viridiplantae; Streptophyta; Magnoliopsida; Solanales; Solanaceae
Description: long non-coding RNA (CANN_LNC012633)
Source: RNAcentral